CUUGGACAGAAAGGCAAGUACAGCUGUGCAGAUAAAGUACACACCUCCAACCGCUCUGCUUGCUCCUUCUCUUACACAGACGUUGUUAAUGGCCGACUAGCAUGGAGCUUUAUCCAACAAUACUGUCACGACUUGUGCAACUAUACUAGCAGGUGCUCAAUCGCUGCUUGAGCUGACUGACAAAGAAGACUAGAGCCAGCUACUGCAGCAAAGGACCAACGUGUGUCUCCAAUUUUCUUGAGCUUUCCCAUUUCGUCAAAGGCUCAACAUGAGGCUGUGUGCAUUUUUAGCAUUCGUGUAUGUGAUGACGCCUUCAGGAGGUAAGAACAGUAUGUGAGCGAUCAGCAGAACAGAUAUCAGUCCUGAAAUGUCGUUGUUCUUGUUGACCAUUGCGACCGUUAUUCAUACUUCAUUGCCUUCAGUGUGUGGCUUAAAGUGUUUCACCUGCUGGAGCGCAAACCCGGGCACCUGCACUCAGGUGUGGAGCUGUCCUAGAGAGUACGACCGCUGCAGCACCACUGUUGGUAAGGUGAAUCUGACGUGGCUUUGAUAUCACGUCACGAUUAUUGCAUCCUAUUAUUCUUUAUUGUGCAAUUUAUUUCUUAUCAAAAUCAAAUGUUUUCCCUUUAUUUAAUAUUCUCUUUCUCGGUUGCAGCUGCUGAGAAUAUGAUCACCAAAGAAUGCAUGAGAAGCGACGUGUGCAAUAACGAGGACGCCGUGGGUGUCAGAUGCUGCGCCGAAGACCUGUGUAAUGGAGCUAAACACCGUGGAGUCUUUGUCCCUCUCCUUCUGGCGCCCUUAUUCAUCAUCACGCUCUUCUGUUGAGGAUAAGCUGCC
This is a long non-coding RNA of Gasterosteus aculeatus aculeatus (three-spined stickleback), 837 nucleotides long. Lineage: Eukaryota; Metazoa; Chordata; Actinopteri; Perciformes; Gasterosteidae. The record is from Ensembl.